CCUGAGACUAGAGUCACAUCCUGGCAGCUCUUGUCCUGGUGUGCUAGAGUUCUCGGAGAUAAUCUGCUGGUCUUGAUUCACUGGCGAAGGCAAUCAGAUCAGAAACAUUC
Pteropus vampyrus (large flying fox) is the source of this 110-nucleotide small nucleolar RNA. The record is from Ensembl. Lineage: Eukaryota; Metazoa; Chordata; Mammalia; Chiroptera; Pteropodidae.